RNAcentral lists this transfer RNA (78 nucleotides) under Pectobacterium phage Wc4. Its description in RNAcentral is "tRNA-Leu". It matches the Rfam family "tRNA". From Rfam's summary of the family: Transfer RNA (tRNA) molecules are approximately 80 nucleotides in length. RNAcentral also lists the same sequence under 1 other name. The record is from RNAcentral. Lineage: Duplodnaviria; Heunggongvirae; Uroviricota; Caudoviricetes; Andersonviridae.
GGGUGAUUGACGGUAAUUGGUAAACCUCGCUUCCUUAGAAGUAGCGGUCUGAGGGUUCGAAUCCCUUGUCACCUACCA